AUCCUUUCGUAGUUCUUGAGUGUGAGGAUCGGGUACUCACACUCAGGUGUGAGAUGUGCCACCCUCGAACCUCAUUUUGAAGUCAGCACGUUACCUGUCUGACA
Molecule: non-coding RNA, 104 nt
Organism: Pongo abelii (Sumatran orangutan)
Lineage: Eukaryota; Metazoa; Chordata; Mammalia; Primates; Hominidae
Source: Rfam